Molecule: long non-coding RNA, 420 nt
Organism: Gopherus evgoodei (Goodes thornscrub tortoise)
Lineage: Eukaryota; Metazoa; Chordata; Testudines; Testudinidae
Exons: 3
Source: RefSeq, a predicted model, not a curated record
CCAGGCUUUGGGCUUUGAUUGUCCUCUUAUAAAUUCGGGAUUAAAGUGAAAUUUCCCACAGGGCUAUGCAGGAUUUGCUAGCAUUUAACUGUUUAACCUGGCUAUUUGUGAAUGAGAAUCCUGUGGUCAACUAUUCCAUAGAGAAUAUUAUGGUAAGAUCUGUCUUCUCCAAAUGUGUGAUGGUUCUCCGUUUUCCUGCUUGUUUUUGUUUUUGUUUUUGAAGAAGAGCUGAUACGCAAACACACCCUGCUAUACAGGCACUGAAGGCACUUCUGUGCCUCAAAUCUAAUAAAGCAGCCACAGAAGAGGAGACAGGAGGAGAUGGAAAAGAAACCAAGGUUUAUUUCAGCAACUAUUAAUUGUAUGUUUUAUUUUCAUCUUCCUUUUAACUAUUAUUUUGAAUCUACCGUCUUCUAUUAU